CAGGCACACACCUGUGCCUCUAACAGUUGAUUUACAGGGAGCACUCAGGAUCUCUCUGGAGGCAUGUGUUUCAGUGUGGUUAGCAGGUAUUUCAAGCCACCUGCCGCCUAGAACCUGUAGACUGUAUAGCCUGUUAUGCUAGAGUUCACUGCAGAGAAGGCACUGGAGAUUGAUAACCCUGAGUGGCCCUGAAAGUCCAAUCUGUAAAUGAGGUGGAGCCAGAGCUGGGUUGAUUGUUUACUGCAGUGUUUAAGUUAAAUAUCUGUAAGGUAAUUAGCAGUUCAAGAGAAGAAACAAGGGGAAGGCUUUAACUGUAUAACAUCAAUUCAUUACUGAAUAAAACAUAAUUAAAUCAGAAGUAUUUGAAAGACCUCUUAACACACUGGCCACAUUAUAAAAUGGCUUGUUUCACCUGACUUGCAGCAGUAGCUGGUGACACAAUAAGAUACAGUACCCUCUAUUGGAAAUGUUGAAUAAGCAAUAUAUAGGAUGAUUAUCAUUCACAAAUCUCCAAAGACAGUUCAGCUUGAUCAUAAAAUAGAAAAGAUUAUACAUGUCUAAACAUGUAAAAAUGUUUGUGAUAAGGAAAGCACUCAUGUGACAUGUAAUUCUUUUCUGCAUUUUCCACAUUAUCUGAGCUGGAGAGUGCUGUUUUAUCUAUUUUUCUUUUGUAUUUUUUCCCCCUGUUAUGUAAAUUGUUAAAGAGCAAAGAGAAAAAUAACUUGUUUUAAAAACAUGAACAGAGAAAUCAAAAAAACAAAGUGUACCUUUUCUUCACCUGAAGUCUUUCACAGAGGUCAUUACAGUAAGGAAUAGAAAUAGGCGCUCAGUGUCCUGAUAAGGAGUUCAGGCUUUAAAAAUGUAUUUUUCUUUUUAGUUAGGUUUUGAACCUAAACGUAACAGUUUUGGCAAUAGAAUGCAAACAUCUGGAAAAUGGACUGAAAAUACAGUUUUUUGUGUUGGUUUAGUUUGAGGUUCCCGUUACAUGCUUCUGAUGGUAUAUCAACAAUAAACAGUUAAAUCAGACAAAAGGAAACAUUUUUACUAUAUAGCCUACUUAAUCAUAGUAGAAGCACAAAAACAAAGCACUAAUCGCCAAAUCAACAAAAUCUAAGCCAAGAAACGAGAGCUUUGAAGAAUGUCGUAGAAGCACAAAAAGGACAAAAACAAGUCAUUAAUGUGGGGCAGGCUAACGUUACAGGCUUCGCUGCAGAAAUGCUCCUGAGAGGAGAGGAAGGGAAAGUAGUUCCUAUCAACUGAGUAUAAUUAGACCAUACUGGUGAUAGUAAGAUACUUAUAAAACACACACUCACUCCAAAUGAGUGUGUUUAGAUAUCGAUCCUGGAGCAGGACUCGUUGGUAUCAGAAAUAUCAAUACUUUAGGAUCGAUCCGCACAUCACUAGUCCACAGCAAAGUGUUGAGUUUUAAAAAGUUACAACAAACUUAAUGUACUCCAGUGUUUCAGUGCUUUCUUCAAAUGUAAACCUGCUGGGUUUUAGGCCAGACAAUUGCAUUAGAAUGUUGAUUAAACCAUUGUUUGUAUCCUCUUUGUAAUGUAAAGAAAACUGACACCUCUUUGUUUAGUGCCAGAAGGACAGUUUUUCGACUGUUUCAUUGACACUUAAGACAGGGUGUCAACCAUUUUGUAGACAAGCCCUGUUGUUCUCCAUGAUUAGUUUAGAGCAAAAGACUGUUUAUUCCUGUAGAUUGAAGGGGGUUUCACGUCUGGGAAUUGGCGCUCUUUUGUUCGACCAAAAGUACCAUAGAGCAGUA
Micropterus dolomieu (smallmouth bass) is the source of this 1774-nucleotide long non-coding RNA. RefSeq lists it as uncharacterized. Lineage: Eukaryota; Metazoa; Chordata; Actinopteri; Centrarchiformes; Centrarchidae. The record is from RefSeq and is a predicted model, not a curated record. The transcript is spliced from 4 exons.